This 406-nucleotide ribosomal RNA is filed under the name uncultured bacterium. RNAcentral describes it as "partial 16S ribosomal RNA". It matches the Rfam family "Bacterial small subunit ribosomal RNA", at positions 30 to 526 of the family's 1533-position model. The record is from RNAcentral.
AUUGAACGCUGGCGGCAGGCCUAACACAUGCAAGUCGAACGCGUGGCGGACGGGUGAGUAAUGUCGGGGACAGUGCCCGGGGGAGGGGGAUCACUAGUGGACACGGUCGCUAAUCCCGCAAAAUAUCGGAUGUGCCCAUAUGGGAUUAUCUAGUGGGUGGGGUAACGGCUCACCUAGGCGACGAUCCCUAGCUGGUCUGAGAGGAUGACCAGCCACACUGGAACUGAGACACGGUCCAGACUCCUACGGGAGGCAGCAGUGGGGAAUAUUGCACAAUGGGCGCAAGCCUGAUGCAGCCAUGCCGCGUGUAUGAAGAAGGCCUUCGGGUUGUAAAGUACUUUCAGCGGGGAGGCGUUACCCGCAGAAGAAGCACCGGCUAACUCCGUGCCAGCAGCCGCGGUAAUUC